RNAcentral lists this ribosomal RNA (247 nucleotides) under uncultured bacterium. Its description in RNAcentral is "partial 16S ribosomal RNA". It matches the Rfam family "Bacterial small subunit ribosomal RNA", at positions 15 to 253 of the family's 1533-position model. The record is from RNAcentral.
GAUCAUGGCCCAGGAUGAACGCUAGCUACAGGCUUAACACAUGCAAGUCGAGGGGCAGCGGGAAGUCAGCUUGCUGACUUUGCCGGCGACCGGCGCACGGGUGAGUAACACGUAUCCAACCUUCCCGUUACUCUGGAAUAGCCUUUCGAAAGAAAGAUUAAUACCGGAUAGUAUCGAGAGAUUGCAUGAUUACCCGAUUAAAGAUUCAUCGGUAACGGAUGGGGAUGCGUUCCAUUAGGCAGUUGGG